Molecule: ribosomal RNA, 497 nt
Filed under: uncultured bacterium
Lineage: Bacteria
Description: partial 16S ribosomal RNA
Rfam family: Bacterial small subunit ribosomal RNA
Source: RNAcentral
GACGAACGCUGGCGGCGUGCCUAAUACAUGCAAGUUGAGCGCUGAAGGUUGGUACUUGUCCCCACUGGAUGAGCAGCGAACGGGUGAGUAACGCGUGGGGAAUCUGCCUUUGAGCGGGGGACAACAUUUGGAAACGAAUGCUAAUACCGCAUAAAAACUUUAAACACAAGUUUUAAGUUUGAAAGAUGCAAUUGCAUCACUCAAAGAUGAUCCCGCGUUGUAUUAGCUAGUUGGUGAGGUAAAGGCUCACCAAGGCGAUGAUACAUAGCCGACCUGAGAGGGUGAUCGGCCACAUUGGGACUGAGACACGGCCCAAACUCCUACGGGAGGCAGCAGUAGGGAAUCUUCGGCAAUGGACGAAAGUCUGACCGAGCAACGCCGCGGGAGUGAAGAAGGGUUUCGGAUCGGAAAACUCUGUUGGUAGAGAAGAACGUUGGUGAGAGUGGAAAGCUCAUCAAGUGACGGUAACUACCCAGAAAGGGACGGCUAACUACGUG